GCUAUUGGAAAACAUAACGAACUUGAACUGAGUUAUGAAGCAAGAGAUAAUUGAAUGACAUAGAACCCACAUUUGCACGUUGUGAUACCUGAGGACAAGAAUUUGUGAAUUUAUAUUUUUAUUUUAACAAAUAUGCCAAUCAAAGAUUCAUUCUUCACUGCAGAAUUAAAGAAAGAGGUGCACCGUGAAAUAAAUUGAUAAUCACUUAUCGAAAUUAUAACUAGGCAAAGUUGUUUCAAUAACAACUCAAAAGCAACUCCACACGAACGAUUUACGUGGAAUCAAAAAAAGACAAUUAAAACAG
RNAcentral lists this unclassified non-coding RNA (304 nucleotides) under Hevea brasiliensis (rubber tree). The record is from RNAcentral. Lineage: Eukaryota; Viridiplantae; Streptophyta; Magnoliopsida; Malpighiales; Euphorbiaceae.